This 253-nucleotide ribosomal RNA is filed under the name uncultured bacterium. Its description in RNAcentral is "partial 16S ribosomal RNA". It matches the Rfam family "Bacterial small subunit ribosomal RNA", at positions 524 to 776 of the family's 1533-position model. The record is from RNAcentral.
UACGUAGGGUGCGAGCGUUGUCCGGAAUUAUUGGGCGUAAAGGGCUCGUAGGCGGUUUGUCGCGUCGAAAGUGAAAACUCAGGGCUUAACCCUGAGCCUGCUUCCGAUACGGGCAGACUAGAGGUAUGCAGGGGAGAACGGAAUUCCUGGUGUAGCGGUGAAAUGCGCAGAUAUCAGGAGGAACACCGGUGGCGAAGGCGGUUCUCUGGGCAUUACCUGACGCUGAGGAGCGAAAGUGUGGGGAGCGAACAGG